AUGGGUGACAGGUGACGGGUGACAGGUGAUGGGUGACAGGUGACGGGUGAUGGGUGACAGGUGAUGGGUGACAGGUGAUGGGUGACAGGUGACGGGUGAUGGGUGACAGGUGACAGGUGACAGGUGAUGAGUGACGGGUGACAGGUGACGGGUGACACUGGGGACAGUGCCACUGAAUGAGGGACAUGGGGGGUGUGGGUGACAGCCAGGUGUCCCCAGGUGUGUCUCCUGUACCCCCAGGUGUGUUUUUGCUGUCCCCAGGUGUCCCCAGGUGUCCCCAGGUGUAUCUCAGGUGUGUCCCCAGGUGUCCCCAGGUGUAUCUCAGGUGUGUCCCAGGUGUCCCCAGGUGCCUGCGAUGGCGCGGGGGCAGCUCCAGUGCCGGAACCUCCAGGAUUUCCUGCGGGGGCUCAGCCCCAACACCCUGGAUCGGCUGUACGGACACCCGGCCACGUGCCUGGCCGUGUUCAGGUGAAAUUAACGCUAAUUAACGCUAAUUAACACUAAUUAACAACACUAAUUAACACCCGGCCACCUGUCUGGCUGUUUUCAGGUGAGAUUAACGCUAAUUAACGCUAAUUAACAACACUAAUUAACACCCGGCCACCUGUCUGGCUGUUUUCAGGUGAAAUUAACGCUAAUUAACGCUAAUUAAUGGUAAUUACUAACCCAAAUCGACACCCGGCCACGUGUCUGGCCGUGUUCAGGUGAAAUUAACGCUAAUUAACGCUAAUUAACGCUAAUUACUAACCCAAAUCGACACCCGGCCACCUGUCUGGCUGUCUUCAGGUGAGAUUAACGCUAAUUAACGCUAAUUAACGCUAAUUAACAACACUAAUGAACACCCGGCCACCUGUCUGGCUGUGUUCAGGUGAAAUUAACGCUAAUUAACGAUAAUUAACAACGCUAAUUAACCCCAAUCGACACCCGGCCACGUGUCUGGCUGUGUUCAGGUGAAAUUAACGCUAAUUAACGCUAAUUAACGGUAAUUAUUAACACUAAUGAACACCCGGCCACGUGUCUGGCUGUGUUCAGGUGAAAUUAACGCUAAUUAAUGCUAAUUAACACUAAUUAACACUAAUUACCAACCCCAAUCGACACCCGGCCACGUGCCUGGCCGUGUUCAGGUGAAAUUAACGCUAAUUAACGCUAAUUAACGGUAAUUAACAACACUAAUUAACACCCCACCACCUGUCUGGCUGUGUUCAGGUGAAAUUAACGCUAAUUAACGCUAAUUAACACUGAUUAUUAACACUAAUGAACACCCGGCCACCUGUCUGGCCGUCUUCAGGUGAAAUUAAUGCUAAUUAACAUUAAUUAACACUAAUUAUUAACUCCAAUCAACACCCCACCACCUGUCUGGCCAUUUUCAGGUGAAAUAAAUGCUAAUUAACGCUAAUUAACA
This 1402-nucleotide long non-coding RNA is filed under the name Cyanistes caeruleus (blue tit). RNAcentral's name for it is "lncRNA (ENSCCEG00000003744.1)". The record is from RNAcentral. Lineage: Eukaryota; Metazoa; Chordata; Aves; Passeriformes; Paridae.